Molecule: ribosomal RNA, 1446 nt
Filed under: Campylobacter jejuni
Lineage: Bacteria; Pseudomonadati; Campylobacterota; Epsilonproteobacteria; Campylobacterales; Campylobacteraceae
Description: partial 23S ribosomal RNA
Rfam family: Bacterial large subunit ribosomal RNA
Source: RNAcentral
AGGUAAGCUACUAAGAGCGAAUGGUGGAUGCCUUGACUGGUAAAGGCGAUGAAGGACGUACUAGACUGCGAUAAGCUACGGGGAGCUGUCAAGAAGCUUUGAUCCGUAGAUUUCCGAAUGGGGCAACCCAAUGUAUAGAGAUAUACAUUACCUAUAUAGGAGCGAACGAGGGGAAUUGAAACAUCUUAGUACCCUCAGGAAAAGAAAUCAAUAGAGAUUGCGUCAGUAGCGGCGAGCGAAAGCGCAAGAGGGCAAACCCAGUGCUUGCACUGGGGGUUGUAGGACUGCAAUGUGCAAGAGGUAAGUUUAGCAGAACAUUCUGGAAAGUAUAACCAUAGAGGGUGAUAGUCCCGUAUGCGAAAAACAAACCUUAGCUAGCAGUAUCCUGAGUAGGGCGGGACACGAGGAAUCCUGUCUGAAUCCGGGUCGACCACGAUCCAACCCUAAAUACUAAUACCAGAUCGAUAGUGCACAAGUACCGUGAGGGAAAGGUGAAAAGAACUGAGGUGAUCAGAGUGAAAUAGAACCUGAAACCAUUUGCUUACAAUCAUUCAGAGCCCUAUGUAGCAAUACAGGGUGAUGGACUGCCUUUUGCAUAAUGAGCCUGCGAGUUGUGGUGUCUGGCAAGGUUAAGCAAACGCGAAGCCGUAGCGAAAGCGAGUCUGAAUAGGGCACUUAGUCAGAUGCUGCAGACCCGAAACGAAGUGAUCUAUCCAUGAGCAAGUUGAAGCUAGUGUAAGAACUAGUGGAGGACUGAACCCAUAGGCGUUGAAAAGCCCCGGGAUGACUUGUGGAUAGGGGUGAAAGGCCAAUCAAACUUCGUGAUAGCUGGUUCUCUCCGAAAUAUAUUUAGGUAUAGCGUUGUGUCGUAAUAUAAGGGGGUAGAGCACUGAAUGGGCUAGGGCAUACACCAAUGUACCAAACCCUAUCAAACUCCGAAUACCUUAUAUGUAAUCACAGCAGUCAGGCGGCGAGUGAUAAAAUCCGUCGUCAAGAGGGAAACAACCCAGACUACCAGCUAAGGUCCCUAAAUCUUACUUAAGUGGAAAACGAUGUGAAGUUACUUAAACAACCAGGAGGUUGGCUUAGAAGCAGCCAUCCUUUAAAGAAAGCGUAAUAGCUCACUGGUCUAGUGAUUUUGCGCGGAAAAUAUAACGGGGCUAAAGUAAGUACCGAAGCUGUAGACUUAGUUUACUAAGUGGUAGGAGAGCGUUCUAUUUGCGUCGAAGGUAUACCGGUAAGGAGUGCUGGAGCGAAUAGAAGUGAGCAUGCAGGCAUGAGUAGCGAUAAUUAAUGUGAGAAUCAUUAACGCCGUAAACCCAAGGUUUCCUACGCGAUGCUCGUCAUCGUAGGGUUAGUCGGGUCCUAAGUCGAGUCCGAAAGGGGUAGACGAUGGCAAAUUGGUUAAUAUUCCAAUACCAACAUUAGUGUGCGAUGGAAGGACGC